Molecule: RNA transcript, 2559 nt
Organism: Lycium barbarum (goji berry)
Lineage: Eukaryota; Viridiplantae; Streptophyta; Magnoliopsida; Solanales; Solanaceae
Exons: 6
Source: RefSeq, a predicted model, not a curated record
AAUAAAUAAACAAGACACUUAUUCAAACCCUAGCCACAAAGUUUCCCAACUAAUAUGCCAAAAUCCAAAUAAUACACCAAAGUAUAAUCAACACUACCUUUUCUAUGUUAAACCAUCCAGCUCCAACCUUAGGAGCCUGGGCAGGGGAUUUCACCUAACUUCCUUAUAGUCAAUCCAGUACACUGUGGUAAGUUUGGAUCUUCUCAGUUAGUCCUAAAAAAAUAAUUGAAAGCAGGCCACAGACCCGUUGAUGUGGCGCAACACAAACGCACGCAGGAUUUUAAUUUAUCUUUUUCCUCAGAAUUUUAACUUUAUCUCUUAUUUAUUCCUGAUUUUUUAAUCAUUAAAAAAAAAAAAGCUUCGUCUGUUAUUUCCCUACACCUCUUUUCCGUCUCCAAAUUAAUUCGCACCGUUUCACUUCUUCAUUCACCACCCACAUGACUGCUACCAUUGAUGAAGCCAUUAUCCUGAAAGUAGCAAAAUCAAAAUAAAGGAUCUCCGUUUUCUUCAAUUUUUGGGUUUUUAUCCCUAUUUUUACCUUUUAUUAUGUGCAAAAAAAAAAAAAAAAAAACUCCCUUAUUUGUUUCGUCUUCCUCUUCAUGCUUACUAGACACUUCUUCCUCUUGUCUUGCCGUCGCCCAAGAUUAACAAUGACGAAAAUAACAAAAGGAAACGGCAUUGCUCCUUUAUUUCUCCUUACAGUUCUUUUUAUGAUAUUCCUUAGACCAACAUUUCCCACGAAAAAGGUGUUAAUGCAUCAGCUUCGCGCAAGAUGGCCAUGGAAUGGUGUUUAGUCAAUGUCAGAAGUAAUGCUAUUUGUUUAAGAGAAAUUAUCUCAAUCUCAAAGUCAUUGUUCAUAAAGUUAAGAUUUGUCAAACCUUUGUCCCGUCUCUUACAUCACUUCGGUAUUAGUGGUUGUUUGAAUUUUUCAUAAUUUGUUAGGAAGACUUUUAUUCAUUUCUCCUUAUUGUUUGUGCUCUAGACAUACUCUUUUUGUUAGAUUGUCAGGGUAAUGGUAUAUUCGGGAACAACAACGAAACUAUCUAUACAAGACAAUGAGAAGAAGAAAACCUUUGUGCAUCAUAAAACGGUACACCAUAUUCUGGUAUGGUAUUAUUUCUCUUUCCCUUUUAGUGUUUUUUUUUUUUUUUUUUGGUCUCUUAAUUUUGUUCUCAAUCUCCAUUAAGCACUUAACUGUAAUAUGGAUAUGAGAUUCAGUUGUUAGGAAUUCCUUGUACAAAAAAUCCAAGUCUAAAAAUUUACAGUUUCUUUAGCUGAAACUGAUGCUUUGAGUUCUGCUUUUCACAUUUAUCUCUUUUAUAUGUCGCUUCCCUGGACAUCUGUAUCUCUUCUCGUGGAGUUCACAAAUUGUGCUAUGGUGUCGGAAGAAGAAAAGAUGAUUCGGCAUUCUCUUCGCAAUUUUCCCACCGCGAGCUUCGGAAACUCCUUUCAAAGUGGUUAUUUAGUGUUAUUUCCUCUCAAUUUCCUAACUGCGAGCUUUCGAAACUCCUUUUUUGAUUGGUUAUUUAGUUUUCUUUCCAGUUGUGUUCUUCUAUCAAGCAAUUAAAUAUUUCUAAUCUGAUGUCCCAGACGUAAAACUACCUUUCAAUCUUCACAUAAAUUCUAUGUCUUGGAAUGAGAUGAUUACUCCUUUCUCAUUAAACUGACGGCAGCAAUCAAGCAAAACGAGGCUAUGAACAAGGAUAUCGCAAAAGGGGUGCAAUCUUGUCAUGUGAAGAUUCUUCUGCAGAGCUUCUUUAACGAUCAGUAUUGCAAUAGCUGAGAAAUUUGAACCCUCAGGGGUUGGCCUGGUGGCAAUUGGCUUGAGCCUUGGGGUGCUCCCUUUCAAGGUCUCAAGUUCGAAACCCAUUGGGUGCAAACAAUUUCUGAGGGCCAUCGGACUGGGUAAAACCCUGAAUUACCCGUGGUGCACUUGCGGGAAACUCCUUGCUGAGGGCCUGUGCACCCCCGGGAUUAGUCGAGGCUCAAAGAGCCUCGGACACCCGGUGCUUAAUCAAAAAAAAAAAUAGCUGAGAAAUUUGCACUAAAGUCUCCUCCAGCACGUGGUCCUGGGUUUUGUUCUUGAGUAUUCAUAUUUUAGUUCACGAUCUACUCUACGUUCAACGAAACAUUUACCGUCAGAGCUAAUUUUUUAUGAGGAUGUUGGUAAGGCAAUCUUGCAGAGCUAUUCUAGAGUGUACUGGAAAGUUUGACAUUCAACAUCGUUGCUUGAAUUGAAGAUGUUCAUUUUAUGUAGCUAAGACCAUGAAAAACCAAGAAGAAUAGGGACCGCAGUAAGCAAAGCCUUUUCUGAUCUCUGCAAGUGUGAGUCAUGUUAGUGCCUCCGGAAUACGGUUAAACUACCUAUAACAAAGGAUCGCUCCCGAAUAGGAUAGCACCAAGUCGAGAACUCGAACAAAUGGAGAAUUAAUUUCACUAUGUGAAAACCAAACUGAUUGUGUAAUUUGAGAGAAGUACUCGAACUUGAAAAUUUUGUUUCUUUUUCAUGGUUUUGAAUAUUUAUAAUUAUAUUCAAGAGCGAAAUCUUGUAGUUUUCUA